AACGAACGCUGGCGGCAGGCUUAACACAUGCAAGUCGAGCGGAACCUUCGGGGUUAGCGGCGGACGGGUGAGUAACACCUGGGAAUUUGCCCUUCUCUACGGUAUCGUCCAGGGUAACAGGGGGUAAUAACGCUUAGGCCCUUAGGGGGUAGGAUCUAUCGGGGAAGGAUUGGCCCGGGUUGGUUUCGGUAGUUGGUGGGGUAAUGGCCUACCAAGCCGACGUUCCAUAGCUGGUGUGAGAGGAUGAUCAGCCACACUGGGACUGAGACACGGCCCAGACUCCUACGGGAGGCAGCAGUGGGGAAUCUUAGACAAGGGGGGCAACCCUGAUCUAGCCAUGCCGCGUGAGUGAUGAAGGCCUUAGGGUUGUAAAGCUCUUUCAGCUGGGAAGAUAAUGACGGUACCAGCAGAAGAAGCCCCGGCUAACUCCGUG
Molecule: ribosomal RNA, 433 nt
Filed under: uncultured bacterium
Lineage: Bacteria
Description: partial 16S ribosomal RNA
Rfam family: Bacterial small subunit ribosomal RNA
Source: RNAcentral